AUUGAACGCUGGCGGCAUGCUUUACACAUGCAAGUCGAACGGUAACAGGCCGCAAGGUGCUGACGAGUGGCGAACGGGUGAGUAAUGCAUCGGAACGUGCCCAGUCGUGGGGGAUAACUACUCGUAAGAGUAGCUAAUACCGCAUACGAUCUAUGGAUGAAAGCGAGGGACCGUAAGGCCUCGCGCGAUUGGAGCGGCCGAUGUCCGAUUAGGUAGUUGGUGGGGUAAAGGCUCACCAAGCCAACGAUCUGUAGCUGGUCUGAGAGGACGACCAGCCACACUGGGACUGAGACACGGCCCAGACUCCUACGGGAGGCAGCAGUGGGGAAUUUUGGACAAUGGGCGCAAGCCUGAUCCAGCAAUGCCGCGUGCAGGAAGAAGGCCUUCGGGUUGUAAACUGCUUUUGUACGGAACGAAACGGCUCUGGUUAAUACCCGGGGCUAAUGACGGUACCGUAAGAAUAAGCACCGGCUAACUACGUG
RNAcentral lists this ribosomal RNA (482 nucleotides) under uncultured bacterium. RNAcentral's name for it is "partial 16S ribosomal RNA". It matches the Rfam family "Bacterial small subunit ribosomal RNA", at positions 30 to 507 of the family's 1533-position model. The record is from RNAcentral.